Parus major (Great Tit) is the source of this 349-nucleotide long non-coding RNA. RefSeq lists it as uncharacterized. The transcript has 3 exons. The record is from RefSeq and is a predicted model, not a curated record. NCBI's taxonomy places the organism in Eukaryota, Metazoa, Chordata, Aves, Passeriformes, Paridae.
AGAAAAGCUCUUAAUAUACUGCUUCAUCUUAGGAGUUGUCAGCACCAUUGGCAAGCAAAGAUGAGCAUGAAGGAGCUGUACUUUUCUGGAUGUGAUUAAUUCUGGCACAGUACUUGUUCCCAUGGCUAAGCCCUGUGUGCACUGCUGUUCUUGUCAGGGUUUGGAAUCAUGGAGUCAGAUGGAAUCAAUGGAAACACCUGAAAUGGAUAACAGCUGAGAAGUGGGCGCAACCUGGGAUGCUACACAGAGGAUGGAAGUCAAAGACCGCUUUAAAGUGACCAUGGAUGAUGAGAGAAGUCAUGCAUUCUGUUCCAUUUCCCAGGAGUCUGACAUUGUCCUGCACUGGCAG